GAUGAACGCUGGCGGCGUGCCUAAUACAUGCAAGUCGAGCGAACAGACGAGAGUGCUUGCACUCUCUGACGUUAGCGGCGGACGGGUGAGUAACACGUGGGUAACCUACCUAUAAGACUGGGAUAACUUCGGGAAACCGGAGCUAAUACCGGAUAAUAUUUAGCUUCGCAUGAAGCAAUAGUGAAAGACGGUUCUUCUGUCACUUAUAGAUGGACCCGCGGUGUAUUAGCUAGUUGGUGAGGUAACGGCUCACCAAGGCAACGAUACAUAGCCGACCUGAGAGGGUGAUCGGCCACACUGGGACUGAGACACGGCCCAGACUCCUACGGGAGGCAGCAGUAGGGAAUCUUCCGCAAUGGACGAAAGUCUGACGGAGCAAUGCCGCGUGAGUGAAGAAGGUUUUCGGAUCGUAAAACUCUGUUGUAAGGGAAGAACAAGUACGUUAGUAACUGAACGUACCUUGACGGUACCUUACCAGAAAGCCACGGCUAACUACGUG
RNAcentral lists this ribosomal RNA (499 nucleotides) under uncultured bacterium. RNAcentral describes it as "partial 16S ribosomal RNA". It matches the Rfam family "Bacterial small subunit ribosomal RNA", at positions 28 to 507 of the family's 1533-position model. The record is from RNAcentral.